RNAcentral lists this ribosomal RNA (253 nucleotides) under uncultured bacterium. RNAcentral's name for it is "partial 16S ribosomal RNA". It matches the Rfam family "Bacterial small subunit ribosomal RNA", at positions 524 to 776 of the family's 1533-position model. The record is from RNAcentral.
UACGUAGGGUGCGAGCGUUAAUCGGAAUUACUGGGCGUAAAGCGUGCGCAGGCGGUUUUUCAAGACCGAUGUGAAAUCCCCGGGCUCAACCUGGGAAUGGCAUUGGUGACUGGAAGGCUAGAGUGUGUCAGAGGGGGGUAGAAUUCCACGUGUAGCAGUGAAAUGCGUAGAGAUGUGGAGGAAUACCGAUGGCGAAGGCAGCCCCCUGGGAUAACACUGACGCUCAUGCACGAAAGCGUGGGGAGCAAACAGG